Molecule: ribosomal RNA, 473 nt
Filed under: uncultured bacterium
Lineage: Bacteria
Description: bacterial SSU rRNA
Rfam family: Bacterial small subunit ribosomal RNA
Source: RNAcentral
UUGAACGCUGGCGGCGUGCCUAACACAUGCAAGUCGAGCGGCAGCGCAGGAGCAAUCCUGGCGGCGAGCGGCGGACGGGUGAGUAAUGCUUGGGAAUCUGCCUGUUAGUGGGGGACAACCCGGGGAAACUCGGGCUAAUACCGCAUACGCACUACGGUGGAAAGCCGGGGACCGCAAGGCCUGGCGCUAACAGAUGAGCCCAAGUCGGAUUAGCUAGUUGGUAGGUAACGGCCACCAAGGCGACGAUCCGUAACUGGUCUGAGAGAAUGACCAGCCACACUGGGACUGAGACACGGCCCAGACUCCUACGGGAGGCAGCAGUGGGGAAUCUUGGACAAUGGGCGCAAGCCUGAUCCAGCCAUNCCGCGUGAGUGACGAAGGCCUUAGGGUUGUAAAGCUCUUUUGCCGGGUACGAUAAUGACGGUACCCGGAGAAUAAGUCCCGGCUAACUUCGUGCCAGCAGCCGCAGUAAC